CAUCCCGACUUACCAAACCGAUGCAAACUCCGAAUACCAAUGAGUACUAUCCGGGAGACAGACUGCGGGUGCUAACGUCCGUAGUCAAGAGGAAAACAAUCCAGACCGCCAGCUAAGGCCCCAAAAUCAUAGUUAAGUGGGAAACGAUGUGGGAAGGCAUAGACAGCUAGGAGGUUGGCUUAGAAGCAGCCACCCUUUAAAGAAAGCGUAAUAGCUCACUAGUCGAGUCGGCCUGCGCGGAAGAUGUAACGGGGCUAAAACUAUGUGCCGAAGCUGCGGAUGUAUACUUAGUAUACGUGGUAGGGGAGCGUUCUGUAAGCCGAUGAAGGUGUAUUGAGAAGUAUGCUGGAGGUAUCAGAAGUGCGAAUGCUGACGUGAGUAACGACAAAACGGGUGAAAAACCCGUUCGCUGAAAGACCAAGGGUUCCAGUCCAACGUUAAUCGGGGCUGGGUGAGUCGACCCCUAAGGCGAGGCCGAGAGGCGUAGUCGAUGGGAAAUUGGUUAAUAUUCCAAUACUUCUGUGUAAUGCGAUGAGAGGACGGAGAAGGUUAAGUCAGCCUGGCGUUGGUUGUCCAGGUGGAAGACAGUAGGCAUGCAUCUUAGGCAAAUCCGGGGUGCUCUAUGCUGAGAGUCGAUAGCAAGCUGUACUUGUACAGUGAAGUGGCUGAUACCAUGCUUCCAGGAAAAGUCUCUAAGCUUCAGUUACACAGGAAUCGUACCCGAAACCGACACAGGUGGUCAGGUCGAGUAGACCAAAGCGCUUGAGAGAACUCUGCUGAAGGAACUAGGCAAAAUGGUACCGUAACUUCGGGAGAAGGUACGCUGCUGACGGUGAUGGGACUUGCUCCCUGAGCGGUUGGCAGCCGCAGAAACCAGGCCGCUGCAACUGUUUAUUAAAAACAUAGCACUCUGCAAACACGAAAGUGGACGUAUAGGGUGUGAUGCCUGCCCGGUGCUGGAAGGUUAAUUGAUGGGGUUAGCGUAAGCGAAGCUCUUGAUCGAAGCCCCAGUAAACGGCGGCCGUAACUAUAACGGUCCUAAGGUAGCGAAAUUCCUUGUCGGGUAAGUUCCGACCUGCACGAAUGGCAUAAUGAUGGCGGCGCUGUCUCCAGCAGAGGCUCAGUGAAAUCGAAAUCGCUGUGAAGAUGCAGUGUACCCGCGGCUAGACGGAAAGACCCCGUGAACCUUUACUGCAGCUUGACAUUGAACUUUGACCUUACUUGUGUAGGAUAGGUGGGAGGCUUUGAAGUUGGAACGCUAGUUCCAAUGGAGCCGUCCUUGAAAUACCACCCUGGUAAUGUUGAGGUUCUAACUCUGCCCCGUAAUCCGGGGCGAGGACCAUGUCUGGUGGGUAGUUUGACUGGGGCGGUCUCCUCCUAAAGAGUAACGGAGGAGUACGAAGGUGCGCUCAGCGUGGUCGGAAAUCACGCGUAGAGUAUAAAGGCAAAAGCGCGCUUAACUGCGAGACCCACAAGUCGAGCAGGUACGAAAGUAGGUCUUAGUGAUCCGGUGGUUCU
RNAcentral lists this ribosomal RNA (1518 nucleotides) under marine metagenome. RNAcentral's name for it is "bacterial LSU rRNA". It matches the Rfam family "Bacterial large subunit ribosomal RNA", at positions 928 to 2430 of the family's 2925-position model. The record is from RNAcentral.